UGUGAAGUUACUUAAACAACCAGGAGGUUGGCUUAGAAGCAGCCAUCCUUUAAAGAAAGCGUAAUAGCUCACUGGUCUAGUGAUUUUGCGCGGAAAAUAUAACGGGGCUAAAGUAAGUACCGAAGCUGUAGACUUGCGCACAACUUAGAUUAUUUAAGUUUAGAAUAUGAGAAACUAAGUUAUAUUUUUACUGAUUUUUAUAGAGUAAAGAUAGAAAUAAAACUUAGUAAAAUCAGUAAAAAUAUUCUUAGGCUAAAGUUAAGUAGUUUAAGUUGUGUGCAAGUGGUAGGAGAGCGUUCUAUUUGCGUCGAAGGUAUACCGGUAAGGAGUGCUGGAGCGAAUAGAAGUGAGCAUGCAGGCAUGAGUAGCGAUAAUUAAUGUGAGAAUCAUUAACGCCGUAAACCCAAGGUUUCCUACGCGAUGCUCGUCAUCGUAGGGUUAGUCGGGUCCUAAGUCGAGUCCGAAAGGGGUAGACGAUGGCAAAUUGGUUAAUAUUCCAAUACCAACAUUAGUGUGCGAUGGAAGGACGCUUAGGGCUAAGGGGGCUAGCGGAUGGAAGUGCUAGUCUAAGGUCGUAGGAGGUUAUACAGGCAAAUCCGUAUAACAAUACUCCGAGAACUGAAAGGCUUUUUGAAGUCUUCGGAUGGAUAGAAGAACCCCUGAUGCCGUCGAGCCAAGAAAAGUUUCUAAGUUUAGCUAAUGUUGCCCGUACCGUAAACCGACACAGGUGGGUGGGAUGAGUAUUCUAAGGCGCGUGGAAGAACUCUCUUUAAGGAACUCUGCAAAAUAGCACCGUAUCUUC
Molecule: ribosomal RNA, 802 nt
Filed under: Campylobacter jejuni
Lineage: Bacteria; Pseudomonadati; Campylobacterota; Epsilonproteobacteria; Campylobacterales; Campylobacteraceae
Description: partial 23S ribosomal RNA
Rfam family: Bacterial large subunit ribosomal RNA
Source: RNAcentral